RNAcentral lists this long non-coding RNA (863 nucleotides) under Capsicum annuum. Its description in RNAcentral is "long non-coding RNA (CANN_LNC020533)". The record is from RNAcentral. Lineage: Eukaryota; Viridiplantae; Streptophyta; Magnoliopsida; Solanales; Solanaceae.
AUAAAUAAAUAACAGCAACAAAUGAAUGAACAGAAAGGAGGCUCAAGUUUCGUCGUUGCUUCAAGAAUGGGACUUUAACCCAUUUCCCUUCUUUCGACUCCUUGUAUCCAUCUGCGUUUUUUUUUUUUUGCUUUUUUGGGUCUUCAAGAUCGACUCAAGACUAAGUGGGCCUCAAUGGCCCAUAAGGAACAUGCAACGGGAAAGAGAGUCCAUGCAAGACUCGAGCGGGUUCAUGCAAAGAAGAGAUAAAGCACAUUAAUACAUGAUCAAUAAAAGGAAGAAAGGGGAGAGGGGGGGAGGGGCAAGAAAAAAGAAAGUUAACACAUGAUCAACCGGGAUAGAAAAAUUAAUACAGUAGUACUUAAUACAUGAUCAACCAAAUAAGAGAAAAAAAAAAUUAAUAAGGGAAGAUCGAAGCGAGGAUGGAUUUAGAUAAUGACAUGCCCAGUUUUUCUUAGAGGGAUUAACAUACAUGGCCAGGGAAGAAUGUGAAUAUGAACAUGUGAAAAACACUAUAACUCUCCCUUUUCCCCCUUUCUUUUGAAUGCCAGGGAUGAAAAAGCAAAGAUCCAGCUGAGUCCUCUCCGAACCACAGGAGAUAGUUGCCCAUCAUACGGCUCACCAACUUCACUUGCCUCUAUGGGAGGCUCGCUCCGGGCAGGUUCGGAUCACUUACAAUACGGUCAAGAUGGCAUCCUUUACUAUAAAGGAUCUAUAUCAUUACUUACUAAACAUACUUUCCCGAAUAGCCUCACGUUGAAACUAAGUUUAUACAAACAAAUAUCCCAGCAAUAAACAUUCUUAAAACAGGAAUAAAAGCAUUUUCAAGAAAAAUCCGAGGAGAAUAAAGAAAGAGUGAAAAC